AAUUGCUAUAGCCAAAUUCUCAUCGCCGAACCUUCUUCUUCGGGAUCCUACUCAGUCAUGGCUAACAACAGCGGCAACAUGGCAAGAUCAUUCCUUCAGGUAGCCUCAACGGAGGAGGUAGCUCCUUCUCUUCGAGUUGUUCAGAUCGAGGGACUGGUUAUCUUGAAGAUAAUCAAACACUGCAAGGAGUUUUCUCCGGCUUUGGUCACUGGUCAGCUUCUUGGGUUGGAUGUUGGUAGCGUUCUCGAAGUUACUAACUGUUUCCCUUUCCCGAUUCGGGAGGAGGAUGAAGAGAUUGAAGCCGAUGGCGCCAAUUACCAGCUUGAAAUGAUGAGAUGCUUGAGGGAGGUUAAUGUUGACAAUAAUACAGUUGGAUGGUACCAAUCAACAUUGUUAGGUUCUUUCCAAACUGUGGAAUUGAUUGAGACCUUUAUGAACUACCAGGAAAAUAUUAGACGAUGUGUAUGUAUCAUUUAUGAUCCUUCAAGAUCCAAUCAGGGUGUCUUAGCUCUCAAGGCCUUGAAACUUUCAGAUGCCUUCAUGGAACUGUACCGCAGUAAUAAUUUUACUGGGGAGAAGUUGAGAGAGAGAAAUUUGUCAUGGGUUGA
This 608-nucleotide unclassified non-coding RNA is filed under the name Hevea brasiliensis (rubber tree). Lineage: Eukaryota; Viridiplantae; Streptophyta; Magnoliopsida; Malpighiales; Euphorbiaceae. The record is from RNAcentral.